This 391-nucleotide ribosomal RNA is filed under the name uncultured bacterium. RNAcentral's name for it is "bacterial SSU rRNA". It matches the Rfam family "Bacterial small subunit ribosomal RNA", at positions 362 to 770 of the family's 1533-position model. The record is from RNAcentral.
UAUUGCACAAUGGGGGGAACCCUGAUGCAGCAAUGCCGCGUGGGUGAAGAAGCACUCCGGUGCGUAAAGCCCUGUCGGCAGGGAAGAAAAUGACGGUACCUGACUAAGAAGCACCGGCGGACUACGUGCCAGCAGCCGCGGUAAUACGUAGGGGGCAAGCGUUAUCCGGAUUUACUGGGUGUAAAGGGAGCGUAGACGGCGAUGCAAGUCUGAAGUGAAAGGCGGGGGCCCAACCCCCGGACUGCUUUGGAAACUGUAUGGCUGGAGUGCAGGAGAGGUAAGUGGAAUUCCUAGUGUAGCGGUGAAAUGCGUAGAUAUUAGGAGGAACACCAGUGGCGAAGGCGGCUUACUGGACUGUAACUGACGUUGAGGCUCGAAAGCGUGGGGAGCA